GACGGAAGGUGCAAGCGUUGCUCGGAAUCACUGGGCGUAAAGGGUGCGUAGGCGGCUGUGCAAGUCUGGCGUGAAAGCCCCGGGCUCAGCCCGGGAAGUGCGCUCGAAACUGCACGGCUCGAGUGCCGGAGGGGAGAGUGGAAUUCCUGGUGUAGCGGUGAAAUGCGUAGAUAUCAGGAGGAAUACCGGUGGCGAAAGCGACUCUCUGGACGGCAAUUGACGCUGAGGCACGAAAGCGUGGGGAGCAAACAGG
Molecule: ribosomal RNA, 253 nt
Filed under: uncultured bacterium
Lineage: Bacteria
Description: partial 16S ribosomal RNA
Rfam family: Bacterial small subunit ribosomal RNA
Source: RNAcentral